This 1393-nucleotide ribosomal RNA is filed under the name metagenome. RNAcentral's name for it is "bacterial LSU rRNA". It matches the Rfam family "Bacterial large subunit ribosomal RNA", at positions 1551 to 2925 of the family's 2925-position model. The record is from RNAcentral.
GAACCCUGAGACGUGAUGCCGAGUCGAUUCAGACGAAGUCACUGAUUCCAUGCUGUCAAGAAAAGCCCAACAGUGAGUUGGCACGGCACCCGUACCCCAAACCGACACAGGUGGGCGGGUAGAGAAUACCAAGGCGAUCGGGAGAACUAUGGUUAAGGAACUCGGCAAAUUACAUCCGUAACUUCGGGAGAAGGAUGACCCCAUGAUCGUGAAGAGAUUUACUCUCGGAGCGUGGAGGGGUGGCACAGACCAGGGGGUAGCGACUGUUUACCAAAAACACAGCAGCGUGCUAAGCCGCAAGGCGCUGUAUACGCUGUGACGCCUGCCCAAUGCUGGAAGGUCACGGGGAAAGGUUAGCCGCAAGGCGAAGCUUUGAACCUAAGCCCCAGUGAAUGGCGGCCGUAACUAUAACGGUCCUAAGGUAGCGAAAUUCCUUGUCGGGUAAGUUCCGACCUGCACGAAUGGCGUAACGACUUCCCCACUGUCUCAACCAUAGACCCGGCGAAAUUGAAGUACGAGUAAAGAUGCUCGUUUGCUGCGGAAGGACGGAAAGACCCCAUGGACCUUCACUACAACUUGAUAUUGAGUUUUGACCUGCGUUGUGUAGGAUAGGUGGGAGGCUUGGAAGCAUUAGCGCUAGCUAGUGUGGAGCCAACGUUGAAAUACCACCCUGCGUAUGUCGGGACUCUAACCUGGGUCCAUCAUCUGGAUCAGGAACAGUGUCAGGCGGGUAGUUUGACUGGGGCGGUCGCCUCCUAAAAUGUAACGGAGGCGCCCAAAGGUUCCCUCAGGCUGGUUGGCAAUCAGCCGUCGAGUGCAAUGACACAAGGGAGCUUGACUGCGAGACUGACAGGUCAAGCAGGUGCGAAAGCAGGGCAUAGUGACCCGGCCAUCACGUGUGGAAGUGUGGUCGCUCAACGGAUAAAAGGUACCCUGGGGAUAACAGGCUAAUCUUUCCCAAGAGUCCAUAUCGACGGAAAGGUUUGGCACCUCGAUGUCGGCUCAUCGCAUCCUGGGGCUGAAGCAGGUCCCAAGGGUUGGGCUGUUCGCCCAUUAAAGCGGUACGCGAGCUGGGUUCAGAACGUCGUGAGACAGUUCGGUCCCUAUCCUCCGCAGCCGAAGGAAUGUUGAGGAAGGCUGUCCCUAGUACGAGAGGACCGGGACGGACGGAGCUCUGGUGUGUCUGUUGUCCUGCCAAGGGCACGGCAGAUUAGCCACCUCCGGAAGGGAUAACUGCUGAAAGCAUCUAAGUAGAAAACCCGUUCCAAGAUGAGCAUUCCCAUGCGGUUAACGCAGUAAGGCCCGUGACAAGACCAUCACGUUGAUAGGCCGGAGGUGUACACACGGCAACGUGUUCAGCCGACCGGUACUAAUCGGCCGAGGGCUUGGACUA